This 465-nucleotide ribosomal RNA is filed under the name uncultured bacterium. RNAcentral describes it as "partial 16S ribosomal RNA". It matches the Rfam family "Bacterial small subunit ribosomal RNA", at positions 28 to 507 of the family's 1533-position model. The record is from RNAcentral.
GACGAACGCUGGCGGCGUGCUUAACACAUGCAAGUCGAACGGAAAGGCCCUGCUUGCAGGGUACUCGAGUGGCGAACGGGUGAGUAACACGUGGGUGAUCUGCCCUGCACUUCGGGAUAAGCCUGGGAAACUGGGUCUAAUACCGGAUAGGAGCCAUUUUUAGUGUGAUGGUUGGAAAGUUUUUUCGGUGUAGGAUGAGCUCGCGGCCUAUCAGCUUGUUGGUGGGGUAAUGGCCUACCAAGGCGGCGACGGGUAGCCGGCCUGAGAGGGUGGACGGCCACAUUGGGACUGAGAUACGGCCUAGACUCCUACGGGAGGCAGCAGUGGGGAAUAUUGCACAAUGGGCGCAAGCCUGAUGCAGCGACGCCGCGUGGGGGAUGACGGCCUUCGGGUUGUAAACUCCUUUCGCUAGGGACGAAGCUUUUUGUGACGGUACCUAGAGAAGAAGCACCGGCUAACUACGUG